Molecule: long non-coding RNA, 216 nt
Filed under: Elaeis guineensis (African oil palm)
Lineage: Eukaryota; Viridiplantae; Streptophyta; Magnoliopsida; Arecales; Arecaceae
Description: long non-coding RNA (EGUI_LNC007868)
Source: RNAcentral
AGGUGCAGGUUUAAAGUCACAAUCUAUAUGCUAAAGUCAUCCAUCAAGCUGAAAAAACUUUCUGCUAUAUUUAGGAGCAAUCUUUAGUAAUGACAAAACUAUAAUCGAACAGAGCAUCAUCAACUGCUUGAAUUCUUAACAGCAAUACAAGCAAUAGAAGAAUAAGAAUCUCCAGGUAUCAAUUCUUCGCAAUGGCAAUUCUCUCAAUCAAGGCAU